UGGGUGUGUAAGCGUAGCGAUACGUUGAGCUAACCAGUACUAAUGAACCGUGAGGCUUAACCUGACAACACCGAAAGUGUUUUG
Molecule: ribosomal RNA, 84 nt
Filed under: Proteus mirabilis
Lineage: Bacteria; Pseudomonadati; Pseudomonadota; Gammaproteobacteria; Enterobacterales; Morganellaceae
Also listed under: 1 other name
Description: partial 23S ribosomal RNA
Source: RNAcentral